UGGGGAAUAUUGCACAAUGGGCGAAAGCCUGAUGCAGCAACGCCGCGUGAGUGAUGAAGGUCUUCGGAUUGUAAAGCUCUGUCUUUUGGGACGAUAAUGACGGUACCAAAGGAGGAGCCACGGCUAACUACGUGCCAGCAGCCGCGGUAAUACGUAGGUGGCGAGCGUUGUCCGGAUUUACUGGGCGUAAAGGGUGCGUAGGCGGAUGUUUAAGUGAGAUGUGAAAUACCCGGGCUUAACUUGGGUGCUGCAUUUCAAACUGGAUAUCUAGAGUGCAGGAGAGGAGAAUGGAAUUCCUAGUGUAGCGGUGAAAUGCGUAGAGAUUAGGAAGAACACCAGUGGCGAAGGCGAUUCUCUGGACUGUAACUGACGCUGAGGCACGAAAGCGUGGGUAGCAAACAGGAUUAGAUACCCUGGUAGUCCACGCCGUAAACGAUGAGUACUAGGUGUAGGAGGUAUCGACCCCUUCUGUGCCGCAGUAAACACAUUAAGUACUCCGCCUGGGAAGUACGAUCGCAAGAUUAAAACUCU
Molecule: ribosomal RNA, 531 nt
Filed under: uncultured bacterium
Lineage: Bacteria
Description: partial 16S ribosomal RNA
Rfam family: Bacterial small subunit ribosomal RNA
Source: RNAcentral